RNAcentral lists this ribosomal RNA (235 nucleotides) under uncultured bacterium. RNAcentral describes it as "partial 16S ribosomal RNA". It matches the Rfam family "Bacterial small subunit ribosomal RNA", at positions 104 to 334 of the family's 1533-position model. The record is from RNAcentral.
CGGGACGGGGUGGAGUAAUGUCUGGGAAACUGCCUGAUGGAGGGGGGUAACUACUGGAAACGGUAGCUAAUACCGCAUGACGUCGCAAGACCAAAGAGGGGGACCUUAGGGCCUCUUGCCAUCGGAUGUGCCCAGAUGGGAUUAGCUAGUAGGUGGGGUAACGGCUCACCUAGGCGACGAUCCCUAGCUGGUCUGAGAGGAUGACCAGCCACACUGGAACUGAGACACGGUCCAG